UCUCCUUUCCUCUCUUUCCCUCUUUCUUUUCCCUCCCUCCUUUCCUUCCUUCUUUCUCUGCUUGAAAUUGGGGUUUAAAACGGGAAAUUUUUAGAGAAACAAGAAAGAAUUGUUCCUUUUCCCAUAGGUCAAGUGUCACUUUCAUAAAUCCAGGCCAAGCUGAUAGCUCUAUAUGAGAAUGUUUCAUUUUUAAACAAAAUCUUUAGCUAAAAAUCAUAAUCAUUUGGAUCUGUGAAAUUUAGGAAAGAUCGUAACCUGAAAGAGAAGGAUAUCAAAUGAAAGAACCAUAAUUUUUACUUGUUUUUACUGUUGUUAUCUUUCUUUUUUUUUUUUUUUUUUUUUUGUUCAAUAAUAGAUAUUCAGCAAUUUCAUAACCUGAAAGGGGAUGGGGGAGGAGGAUUUCAUCAGUUUUACUGUCUUCUGUGCAAAGAAUGGCCAUUUAAUUUGGUGGCAAAGGGUUGGGUAGGUUUGUGUUUAUAUGGUGAAUACUAUUAACACGUGAGGUGGAAUCCUGUUUUUCACACAGGAAGGGUAGUGGCUGAUUAGACAAGGCUAUUUAAAUUUCUUAGAAGUAUUUGGUUACUGAACUUGGAUGACAACAAAGGAUAACAUUAGGUUUCACACUGUUUUCUAUUAAAAGGCAACCUUUGCCGGUUUCUGUGGGGAAAAAAAAGCUGAUUUUAGAGUAGCAGAAUAACUUUUACUUUGACAAGCUGGCAAAAAUGUCCCCAUUUGUGUGUUAUUUUGCAUAGUCAGUGAGGUCAUUUUGUCCCAUAAUAAAAAUAACAUUAUUCUUGUUGGUAUUAAUCUUUUGAAUGUAUUUGGAAACUUCAGGGUUGCAAGCACAUGGAUAACAAAAUGAUGGGUAGCUAUAAUGGAGAGGUUUAUGCUAAGGGUUAUAUUGUUACACAUGUAAAUAUGAAAAAUAUUAUUAUAUAUCACCAGAUCUUUUAAUGAAUUUAAGCAAUGUGUUCAUUUACCCCACCAGUGUCUCUUGUGCUUAGCAAAUAGUUCUUCAGCUUUUCCUCUAUUUUUGUCCUCCUACUCCCUUUCCCUAUCUAGCCUAAAGGAAAGCCAAAUGUUUAACAAAGUUAUAUUUAAUCAGUCUGGGUAAUCCCAAAAUGUGAUUAUUUAAUUUACAGUUUCUUGUUCCUAAACUUCAAUCCUCUUAAUGAGUCUCCCAUCCUUUCUCUACAAGUCUAUAUUGAGAAAUCAUUUCAAGAUGUAUUUAAAAUAGUCACCUCACUGUUGUUGAUCUAUCUUUUUUAUUUCUAUUAUUUUUAGGAUCUAGAACAGAUCUACUUUGUUUCCAAAUACCACCAUUCUUAAUUGACCUUUAGAGAUUCCUUAUGCUUUCCUGUAGUAUCUGGUAUUUGCACAUGUUCACGAGUUGUUCUGUAUGAAUGGUUUUUAAUGGAACGUUUAGAAAAUAAUUGGUUCUGAAAUGAAAUGUAGUAUAUACUCGAUAGUUUUAUCAAUAAGUGUAAUAUUUUAAAUAAUUUUAACAAUUAAAUUUGUUUUCUUAAAUUAUAUAUUUGUAAAAUAUUUAUCCUGUUGAAAGCAACAAUAUAUUGUUGUAUUUAUUCAUUUUAUUUUUAUAAUAAAUGAUCAACCUCUUCAAGUUAAAGCAAAAAUGACACUUUUAUAUACUUAUGUAUAAAUAUCUUUUAAAAGAUGGAUAUAUUUGCAUCAAUUUAUAUGAUAAACAGAGUGAGAUCCAUCAAUACAGUUUAGUUUUCAGAACUAAAUUGUAGGAGAGAACAUAUUCUCCACAUGAAGUUUAGCUUGCUCAAGUUCUAGAGUAAUUAAUCAAAUUCUAAAAGGGAUGCAACAAGUAUUGGCACUGGGUAUAGAGUUGAAAUUAAUUAUUUAGAACCCAGACCUAUCCCCACCCAUCCGUCCCCAAGAAGAUAGAAAUUCUUAGGGAAUUAUCUUAUUUUGUGGAAUGUACGUGAUUUGCUAGAAAGACGGAAACAGAAACAAUGUAUUGGUGAAAAAACCCAAUUAUUUUCGGUUUCACUUAGAAAUACUUAACUGUAUUCAUUCUUAACGAUGAAAGACAGAAAUAGAGUGAAUUGAGUGGUUGGGGGUAAUCGAUGUAUCUUUCAAAGCAAGAUAUUUUGGGGCUGGCUCCGCUAUUUUAAACGGAGAUAAAGCAGAACAACAAUAACAAAAAACACACACCCAAAAAUAAUAAUAAUAAGGAAUUCAGAGUGGAUACGAAGGAAUAGAAUACCUUUCUUCCUAUCCAGUUAUUAGCAAUAUAAGCAGACAAUAAAGAGGGAAAAGAGGUUGCCAGGAUUUUCUGUUUGGCUUGACUACCUAUCUCUAACUUUGUGCGUGUGGAAUACUUGCUUAUCCCAGCUCUUUAGAACUGUUAUCUACCCUUCAUCUGGAGGUCACUCACGUGACAUCGUGACUACUAGUGCUGCACUGGAGGCUUGACCUUGACUUCCAUACGGAAAUCAGUGAGCUCAGUGUUUUACUUUUUAAUCUCCUUUACCCAAGAGAAAGAAAUAUUGGAGGAAGUUGGAGGAAUUCGGGAGUGGAAGAGGGAGCUGGUGGAGAGAGGAACAGGACCACUUUUUCCCCUGCAAACAGGAAAAAUAUUGCCUCUUCUGUCAGAACUUUGUUUCCAGCCUGGAGAAACUUCAACAAUGUCAAGUUUUCCUACAGAUUCCUUCCUUUAACUGCUUUCCGAAAGAGAAAUCUCUGCCUGAACUGAGAAACAUAAGCGGAAAUUUAACAGGGAUAAAUGAAAAGUCUUGAUUCCAAAAAUCAGCACCCAUCAGCAUGAAAAAGACAAAGAGAUUUUAACAGAAUCCAAGAUCAAUAUGAAACAAGAAAAUAGAGGAGCCAAAAAAAUGAUUUUGUGUGCCUGCGACAACUUCAGGAUGUCCUGGAGAUCCCUUUCUUCAGUUUCCUUCCAAAUGGAAUCAUCUGCUUCAUUAUAAUCUGGAUACAUAAAGAGAAAUCACUGAUAUAAGGUCUUACAGUAACUCUCAACCACAGUUUUCCUCACCUAGAAUUACUUGGAUUAUGUGUAUAUGAUUGUGAUAGAAAACUACUGUGCUAUAAGAAAUAAUGAGCUAAUGUUUACAGGAAAACA
This is a long non-coding RNA of Sarcophilus harrisii (Tasmanian devil), 3109 nucleotides long. RefSeq lists it as uncharacterized. The transcript has 4 exons. The record is from RefSeq and is a predicted model, not a curated record. Lineage: Eukaryota; Metazoa; Chordata; Mammalia; Dasyuromorphia; Dasyuridae.